AAAUGCGGAAGAGAUAAGUGCUGAAAGCAUCUAAGCACGAAACUUGCCCCGAGAUGAGUUCUCCCUGAGACUUUAGAUCUCCUGAAGGAACGUUGAAGACGACGACGUUGAUAGGCCGGGUGUGUAAGCGCAGCGAUGCGUUGAGCUAACCGGUACUAAUGAACCGUGAGGCUUAACCUU
RNAcentral lists this ribosomal RNA (180 nucleotides) under Salmonella enterica. Its description in RNAcentral is "partial 23S ribosomal RNA". It matches the Rfam family "Bacterial large subunit ribosomal RNA", at positions 2751 to 2925 of the family's 2925-position model. The record is from RNAcentral. RNAcentral also lists the same sequence under 1 other name. Lineage: Bacteria; Pseudomonadati; Pseudomonadota; Gammaproteobacteria; Enterobacterales; Enterobacteriaceae.